UACGUAGGUGGCAAGCGUUGUCCGGAUUUAUUGGGUUUAAAGGGUGCGUAGGCGGUCUUCUAAGUCAGUUGUGAAAUACUUCAGCUUAACUGGGGAGGUGCAAUUGAUACUGGAAGACUUGAGUACUGAUGAGGUAGGCGGAAUGGACGGUGUAGCGGUGAAAUGCUUAGAUAUCGUCCAGAACACCGAUAGCGAAGGCAGCUUACUAAGGAGUAACUGACGCUGAGGCACGAAAGUGUGGGGAUCAAACAGG
This 253-nucleotide ribosomal RNA is filed under the name uncultured bacterium. RNAcentral describes it as "partial 16S ribosomal RNA". It matches the Rfam family "Bacterial small subunit ribosomal RNA", at positions 524 to 776 of the family's 1533-position model. The record is from RNAcentral.